RNAcentral lists this ribosomal RNA (465 nucleotides) under Vreelandella stevensii. RNAcentral's name for it is "partial 16S ribosomal RNA". It matches the Rfam family "Bacterial small subunit ribosomal RNA", at positions 338 to 795 of the family's 1533-position model. The record is from RNAcentral. Lineage: Bacteria; Pseudomonadati; Pseudomonadota; Gammaproteobacteria; Oceanospirillales; Halomonadaceae.
CCUACGGGAGGCAGCAGUGGGGAAUAUUGGACAAUGGGGGGAACCCUGAUCCAGCCAUGCCGCGUGUGUGAAGAAGGCCCUCGGGGUGUAAAGCACUUUCAGUGAGGAAGAACGCCUGGUGGUUAAUACCCAUCAGGAAAGACAUCACUCACAGAAGAAGCACCGGCUAACUCCGUGCCAGCAGCCGCGGUAAUACGGAGGGUGCGAGCGUUAAUCGGAAUUACUGGGCGUAAAGCGCGCGUAGGUGGCUUGAUAAGCCGGUUGUGAAAGCCCCGGGCUCAACCUGGGAACGGCAUCCGGAACUGUCAAGCUAGAGUGCAGGAGAGGAAGGUAGAAUUCCCGGUGUAGCGGUGAAAUGCGUAGAGAUCGGGAGGAAUACCAGUGGCGAAGGCGGCCUUCUGGACUGACACUGACACUGAGGUGCGAAAGCGUGGGUAGCAAACAGGAUUAGAUACCCCGGUAGUC